UACGUAGGGAGCGAGCGUUGUCCGGAAUUACUGGGCGUAAAGGGCGCGUAGGCGGCGAUGCAAGUCGCAUGUGAAAUCCCCAGGCUUAACUUGGGGGGUGCAUACGAAACUGCAUGGCUUGAGUAUGGCAGAGGAAAGUGGAAUUCCUAGUGUAGCGGUGAAAUGCGUAGAUAUUAGGAGGAACACCAGUGGCGAAGGCGACUUUCUGGGCCACAACUGACGCUGAGGCGCGAAAGCGUGGGGAGCAAACAGGAUUAGAUACCCUGGUAGUCCACGCGGUAAACGAUGAAUGCUAGGUGUAGGAGGUAUCGACCCCUUCUGUGCCGCAGCUAACGCAAUAAGCAUUCCGCCUGGGGAGUACGGCCGCAAGGUUGAA
This 376-nucleotide ribosomal RNA is filed under the name uncultured bacterium. Its description in RNAcentral is "bacterial SSU rRNA". It matches the Rfam family "Bacterial small subunit ribosomal RNA", at positions 524 to 898 of the family's 1533-position model. The record is from RNAcentral.